RNAcentral lists this non-coding RNA (29 nucleotides) under Homo sapiens (human). The record is from RNAcentral. Lineage: Eukaryota; Metazoa; Chordata; Mammalia; Primates; Hominidae.
UGGUGCUGUAUCCGCGUUGUUUUCACAGU